This 321-nucleotide ribosomal RNA is filed under the name Candidatus Bathycorpusculum sp. RNAcentral describes it as "partial 23S ribosomal RNA". It matches the Rfam family "Archaeal large subunit ribosomal RNA", at positions 2685 to 2987 of the family's 2987-position model. The record is from RNAcentral. Lineage: Archaea; Thermoproteati; Candidatus Bathyarchaeota; Bathyarchaeia (SeqCode); Bathyarchaeales (SeqCode); Candidatus Bathycorpusculaceae.
CCGUCGUGAGACAGGUCGGACUUUAUCUGCUGGGAGUGUUGGCUGCCUGAGGGGAAAGGGUCCCUAGUACGAGAGGAACGGGACGCUGUAGCCUCUAGUUAACCGGUUGUCUGAUAAGGCAGUCGCCGGGCAGCCACGCUGUUGUGGAUAAGAGCUGAAAGCAUCUAAGCUCGAAGCCUCUCCCGAAAAGAGGCAGCCAUUCCAGUUUCACUGGACGAAGGCACCCAUAAAAGAUGGGUUUGAUGGAACCGGGGUGUACGCUAGAAGACUUCGGUCGACUAGCUUAGCCCGCGGUCACCAAUCGCCUAAGUUGUCAAUCAA